This 239-nucleotide ribosomal RNA is filed under the name uncultured bacterium. RNAcentral's name for it is "partial 16S ribosomal RNA". It matches the Rfam family "Bacterial small subunit ribosomal RNA", at positions 116 to 354 of the family's 1533-position model. The record is from RNAcentral.
CGGUGAGGAACCUGCCUUUCAGAGGGGGACAACAGCUGGAAACGGCUGCUAAUACCGCAUAACACAUAGGUGUCGCAUGGCAUUUAUGUCAAAGAUUUAUCGCUGAGAGAUGGCCUCGCGUCUGAUUAGCUAGUUGGUAGGGUAACGGCCUACCAAGGCGACGAUCAGUAGCCGGACUGAGAGGUUGGCCGGCCACAUUGGGACUGAGAUACGGCCCAGACUCCUACGGAAGGCAGCAG